RNAcentral lists this ribosomal RNA (168 nucleotides) under uncultured Chelativorans sp. Its description in RNAcentral is "partial 16S ribosomal RNA". It matches the Rfam family "Bacterial small subunit ribosomal RNA", at positions 338 to 523 of the family's 1533-position model. The record is from RNAcentral. Lineage: Bacteria; Pseudomonadati; Pseudomonadota; Alphaproteobacteria; Hyphomicrobiales; Phyllobacteriaceae.
CCUACGGGAGGCAGCAGUGGGGAAUAUUGGACAAUGGGCGCAAGCCUGAUCCAGCCAUGCCGCGUGAGUGAUGAAGGCCCUAGGGUUGUAAAGCUCUUUCAGCGGGGAAGAUAAUGACGGUACCCGCAGAAGAAGCCCCGGCUAACUUCGUGCCAGCAGCCGCGGUAA